This 327-nucleotide ribosomal RNA is filed under the name Wolbachia endosymbiont of Anopheles stephensi. RNAcentral's name for it is "bacterial SSU rRNA". It matches the Rfam family "Bacterial small subunit ribosomal RNA", at positions 1043 to 1369 of the family's 1533-position model. Lineage: Bacteria; Pseudomonadati; Pseudomonadota; Alphaproteobacteria; Rickettsiales; Anaplasmataceae. The record is from RNAcentral.
GCAUGGCUGUCGUCAGCUCGUGUCGUGAGAUGUUGGGUUAAGUCCCGCAACGAGCGCAACCCUCAUCCUUAGUUACCAUCAGGUAAUGCUGGGGACUUUAAGGAGACUGCCAGUGAUAAACUGGAGGAAGGUGGGGAUGAUGUCAAGUCAUCAUGGCCCUUAUGGAGUGGGCUACACACGUGCUACAAUGGUGGCUACAAUGGGCUGCAAAGUCGCGAGGCUAAGCCAAUCCCUUAAAAGCCAUCUCAGUUCGGAUUGUACUCUGCAACUCGAGUGCAUGAAGUUGGAAUCGCUAGUAAUCGUGGAUCAGCACGCCACGGUGAAUAC